This 399-nucleotide ribosomal RNA is filed under the name uncultured Spirochaeta sp. RNAcentral's name for it is "bacterial SSU rRNA". It matches the Rfam family "Bacterial small subunit ribosomal RNA", at positions 984 to 1382 of the family's 1533-position model. The record is from RNAcentral. Lineage: Bacteria; Pseudomonadati; Spirochaetota; Spirochaetia; Spirochaetales; Spirochaetaceae.
ACAUACGCUGGAAUGGGCGGGAGACCGUUCAGCCUUUCGGGGCCGGCGUACAGGUGCUGCAUGGCUGUCGUCAGCUCGUGCUGUGAAGUGUUGGGUUAAGUCCCGCAACGAGCGCAACCCCUGCUAUCUGUUGCCAGCAAGUGAUGUUGGGGACUCAGAUGGAACUGCCGGUGACAAACCGGAGGAAGGUGGGGACGACGGUCAAGUCAUCAUGGCCCUUAUGUCCUGGGCUACACACGUGCUACAAUGGCCGGUACAGAGCGCAGCGAAGCCGCGAGGCAAAGCGAAUCGCAAAAAGCCGGUCUCAGUACGGAUUGGAGUCUGAAACCCGACUCCAUGAAGUUGGAAUCGCUAGUAAUCGCGCAUCAGCAUGGCGCGGUGAAUACGUUCCCGGGCCUU